GACGAACGCUGGCGGCGUGCUUAACACAUGCAAGUCGAACGCUGAAGACCUGGCUUUUGUUGGGUUGGAUGAGUGGCGAACGGGUGAGUAACACGUGAGUAACCUGCCCUCUUCUUUGGGAUAACGCCCGGAAACGGGUGCUAAUACUGGAUAUUCACUGAUCUUCGCAUGGGGGUUGGUGGAAAGGUUUGUUCUGGUGGGGGAUGGGCUCGCGGCCUAUCAGCUUGUUGGUGGGGUGAUGGCCUACCAAGGCUUUGACGGGUAGCCGGCCUGAGAGGGUGACCGGUCACAUUGGGACUGAGAUACGGCCCAGACUCCUACGGGAGGCAGCAGUGGGGAAUAUUGCCCAAUGGGCGAAAGCCUGAUGCAGCGACGCCGCGUGAGGGAUGGAGGCCUUCGGGUUGUAAACCUCCUUCGCUCAUGGUCAAGCCGCAACUGUGGGUUGUGGUGAGGGUAGUGGGUAAAGAAGCGCCGGCUAACUACGUG
RNAcentral lists this ribosomal RNA (486 nucleotides) under uncultured bacterium. Its description in RNAcentral is "partial 16S ribosomal RNA". It matches the Rfam family "Bacterial small subunit ribosomal RNA", at positions 28 to 507 of the family's 1533-position model. The record is from RNAcentral.